Molecule: ribosomal RNA, 731 nt
Filed under: uncultured Psathyrella
Lineage: Eukaryota; Fungi; Basidiomycota; Agaricomycetes; Agaricales; Psathyrellaceae
Description: partial 28S ribosomal RNA
Rfam family: Eukaryotic large subunit ribosomal RNA
Source: RNAcentral
GAAUCCCGUCUUUGACACGGACUACCGAGGCUUUGUGGUGCGCUCUCAAAGAGUCGAGUUGUUUGGGAAUGCAGCUCAAAAUGGGUGGUAAAUUCCAUCUAAAGCUAAAUAUUGGCGAGAGACCGAUAGCGAACAAGUACCGUGAGGGAAAGAUGAAAAGAACUUUGGAAAGAGAGUUAAACAGUACGUGAAAUUGCUGAAAGGGAAACGCUUGAAGUCAGUCGCGUUGGCCGGAAAUCAGCCUUGCUUUUGUGGGGUGUACUUUCUGGUUGACGGGCCAGCAUCAGUUUUGACCGGUGGAAAAAGUCUAGAGGAAUGUGGCAUCUUCGGAUGUGUUAUAGCCUCUGGUCGUAUACAUCGAUUGGGACUGAGGAACUCAGCACUUGUGCUUAGGAUGCUGGCAUAAUGGCUUUAAUCGACCCGUCUUGAAACACGGACCAAGGAGUCUAACAUGCCUGCGAGUGUUUGGGUGGAAAACCCGGACGCGUAAUGAAAGUGAAAGUUGAGAUCCCUGUCAUGGGGAGCAUCGACGCCCGGACCAGAAGUUUUCUGACGGCCCUGCGGUAGAGCAUGUAUGUUGGGACCCGAAAGAUGGUGAACUAUGCCUGAAUAGGGUGAAGCCAGAGGAAACUCUGGUGGAGGCUCGUAGCGAUUCUGACGUGCAAAUCGAUCGUCAAAUUUGGGUAUAGGGGCGAAAGACUAAUCGAACCAUCUAGUAGCUGGUUCCUGCC